Molecule: long non-coding RNA, 609 nt
Filed under: Elaeis guineensis (African oil palm)
Lineage: Eukaryota; Viridiplantae; Streptophyta; Magnoliopsida; Arecales; Arecaceae
Description: long non-coding RNA (EGUI_LNC056209)
Source: RNAcentral
ACCCUUUGUGUAUUGACUCUUCAUUUUUGGUAUUUCAGCCUGAUACUUGGUCUAACAUUGACAUCUUUCUAGUAGUAAUCAGCCUAGUAACUAUAUAUUUCAUCCUGUUGUCCAAGUACUUUGACCUACUAAUCAAGCAUAACUUAGCCUACUAGCCAUAUAUUCGACCCACUGAUCGAGUAAUUUCACCUACUGAUUAUGUUCUCAGUCUAUUUCUUGGUAUUUGAUUGAAGAUUGAAAUCCUUCCAAAACUUCUAAUUGGGCCUCCAAAAGAUAUCCCUUUUGAAGAUCUACUUUCACCUAGUUCAUGCUAGAUGGCCUUUUGAGGCUUGUUAUUAAUCAGUCUUUGUAUCAUAAUCAUUGGUAUGAAUGUGUUGUAAACAAUGUCCCAUAUCCCAUUAGCCAAUGAUUAGGAAGGUGAUCGGAUGUACCUAGCACCACAUCCAUCGACUUAUUACUUGGUAGUCAACCAUCUUAACCAAUUUGAGGGAAAAAGCUAAUCGGGAUCAUCAAUCACUUGCUUCACUUACUAGGAGAUUGAUAGAGACACCUCAUUGAAAAGGUAAACUUGAGUGGCACACAUAGACCAUGGACUAUCUAGUGGAGGAA